RNAcentral lists this ribosomal RNA (448 nucleotides) under Microhyla berdmorei (Pegu rice frog). RNAcentral describes it as "partial 12S ribosomal RNA". It matches the Rfam family "Bacterial small subunit ribosomal RNA", at positions 885 to 1533 of the family's 1533-position model. The record is from RNAcentral. Lineage: Eukaryota; Metazoa; Chordata; Amphibia; Anura; Microhylidae.
AGCCCAAGCUUAAAACCCAAAGGACUUGACGGUGUCCCACCCACCUAGAGGAGCCUGUUCUAUAAUCGAUUCUCCCCGAUAUACCUCACCGCUUCUAGCUUUUUUCAGCCUGUAUACCUCCGUCGUAAGCUUACCCUAUGAACGCUUUUUAGUGAGCUAAAAGAUCUUUACAUAAAUACGUCAGGUCAAGGUGCAGCCUACGAAGCGGCAAGAAAUGGGCUACAAUUUCUACAAUAGAACACAACGAAAGACUACAUGCAACUUAGUCAUGAAGGCGGAUUUAGUAGUAAAAAGAAAAUAGAGAGUUCUUUUUAAUCAGGCGCUGGGACGCGUACACACCGCCCGUCACCCUCUUCAAACGCUUAAACCCAGUUUAUAACAAAUUUCUGCACCACAGAAGAGGUAAGUCGUAACAUGGUAAGCGUACUGGAAAGUGCGCUUGGAAUAA